UGUGCUACUUCUGACUUGUGACGUCGCAACCGUUAACAAGUAGCAAUGUGAGAGGUGCGAACCGAGAGGCAACACCAAGCCGAAAAGCACAUAACUUCGAUUCCCGUUCCUCGACCUCUCCUCUAACCCAACACCCACUCGCUAUCUCUGCUUGAACAGAAUACCUGGGUCGAAGCACCAGCUGAACUCGGACAGCCAGACUUCAGAAAUCUCCAGACGGCAUGGAAGAAACAGCAGUUAGAGAGGAUGGUGCAGUGAUCCGAUUUGCUGAGUAUGUCGGGUCGUUUUCGGUGGACGACAGCUGCCUAGAUGAUCAAAUGGAGCAGUUGCACAGGAACCUGAAGACCCUGAAUACAUGCAAUUAAAGUAGGCCUGUAUCCCCUCAAGUUCUCCAUCAAAGUGUGAAAAUGUACGACGAGGAUGAAACGACCCUUCUGAUGGCCCACGCCCUUCGUAGAGUGUCACUGUCUACCGCUCGGCCCAGCGACUCCCAGUUUGCCUUCGUCUCCCACAGCGCCGACGCCCAGCUGUGCUACCAUGUUUUCAGAUCCUAUCAAAUCCAGCGCCCACUAGCGUCCGAUCUUUAUGCAACAGUGCCCCUCACAGGGAAAUGGCCGCUAACGUUAGCAUGGUCGCUAAAGUUAGCUUGGUUGUGGUGUGGUUGUCCCGCCUGGGAGGGUCGCGACGGGUUCUGAUCAGGGAUCCUGCGGUGAUGAUUGCAUCUUUUUUUUUUCAAAGCCGAUGACAUCGAUUUUGUUGUCUUGUUUUUUCGCUGGCUAGUGAUUUGCUUGAGGAGGUGGAGGAGGCGGAGUUCUCAAAUAUGUACAUGUAUGUAUGUAGGCUCAAAUAUGUACAUAAAUGUCAUUCACAGCAGUGAGUUAUGUGCAGGCAGAAAUCUAUUAACUACAUUCGACUGAAUAUGUGUGCGUGUGUGUGUGCGCGUGCACAUCCUGGAAAGUGCUGCUGCUGUUCAGACUGCAAAGCAAACACAGUGAGCAGACUCAGCACACACAGUCGGCCUGUAAAGUCCCCCCCCCCCCAGUUCCCAUUCACUUCCUUCCCUGCUUCCUUUCUUAGUGUCUCCUGCCUACUUCGUCUGUCCAAUGACAGAGCGCCUUCCGUGAUCUCCCUGGUGAUGCAUUUUGAUUGCGAGAAAAACGGCCGGUUAUGACUGUUAAUCAUCCUGGGACACAACUUCAAAAAUGUUUGGAUGAUGAUGGUUGACACAUAAUGAUGAUUUUUUUUUUUUUGUGUAGCAAGUAUGUUGCAAUACAUCCACUCUUUGCCUUGUUUUGUGCUAGUUUAGCUUCGCAUUGUUGUAGUUUUUAAUGUUUUGCCCUGCACACGUCUGUAUCGUUCUGUUUUUUUUAGUGCUCAAUCAACCCUUAGUGCGUCUUGCGCUAAUCGCGGCAUCCACGCAUGUUCUUAUCCCUUAUGCGUUUAUUGCAUCAUAUUGCCUCCAACAUUAAAAAAUAAAUAAAGGAAUAAUCAAGGAAAGGAAUAAUCAUGAGUUGGUCAAGUCGUAAUGCAUGCAUUUGAAAAUGUCAAACAUUUUAGGUGGACCCAAAUGCCUUCUAUUACCGUUUUUUUCCGUGUAUAGUGCGCCCCCAUGUAUAAUACGCACCCUAAAAAUGGCAUGCUGAUGCUGGAAAAAAGCCUGUACCCAUGUAUAAUACGCACCCAAUUUUUAUGAAUUUUCUUUAUGAAUUUUUUUUUUUUUUUUUAAGUCCCAAUGAUCGUCACACACGCAGGGAGGCAAUGGGUCCCAUUUUUAUAGUCUUUGGUAUGGUCUUAACUAGGCUGGAUGUAAUUUUUUUUGUUGGCGUUGAUUUCUCCGACUGCCCUUAAACGCACCACCGCGCUCCGUGCGCGCACGGGAAAGAGGCGUGCGGACGUGAAAAAGGCGGCUCUGUAUGGGAGAGACGUUGAAGAGGAAUAAAAACACCCUUGGAAACCAAAACUUGGUGAUUUCAAGUUUCAUUUCGAGGGACAUUUGUCACGUCUCGUCCCCAGUUUUGCUAUGUGUCUAGGUUGCCAUAGUUUCUGUUCGCGUCGCCCCUCUCUUCCUGUGUCACCUCAAUCGAUGUAACGUGUUUUGUAUUUAAGUCCUGUCUGCCCCUCGCUCACCGUCGGAUCAUUGCAUGUGUUACUGUCAUGAUGUCUGUUUGCUUUCUGUUCCUGUCUUUGGUAAUGUCACCCUGUCUUUUUGUUCCACGACUUUGUCGGUCAGUCCUGUUGUUGGUUUUGUUUUCUAAAAAAAAAAAAAAAAAAAAA
This is a long non-coding RNA of Syngnathus typhle (broad-nosed pipefish), 2274 nucleotides long. RefSeq lists it as uncharacterized. The record is from RefSeq and is a predicted model, not a curated record. The transcript is spliced from 5 exons. Lineage: Eukaryota; Metazoa; Chordata; Actinopteri; Syngnathiformes; Syngnathidae.